UACGGGGGGAGCAAGCGUUGUUCGGAUUUACUGGGCGUAAAGGGCGCGUAGGCGGCCACCGCAAGUCGACUGUGAAAUCUCCGGGCUUAACCCGGAAAGGUCAGCCGAUACUGCGGGGCUAGAGUGCAGAAGGGGCAACUGGAAUUCUCGGUGUAGCGGUGAAAUGCGUAGAUAUCGGGAGGAACACCGGUGGCGAAGGCGGGUCUCUGGGCAUCUCCUGACGCUGAGGCGCGAAAGCGUGGGGAGCAAACGGG
This 254-nucleotide ribosomal RNA is filed under the name uncultured bacterium. RNAcentral describes it as "partial 16S ribosomal RNA". It matches the Rfam family "Bacterial small subunit ribosomal RNA", at positions 524 to 776 of the family's 1533-position model. The record is from RNAcentral.